AGACAACAAUUAUUCAGCAAAAAUGAUACAACCUGUCGCUCGAGAGAUUACAAACGGAGCUGUUUUUAUGGUUUGUUCCGCUUUUGUUUAACGAUUCCGAGGAUCACACGUAAUAACCCACGCAAUCCACCACCGAAGUCGGAAAACCGACUCAACGGAACGCAGCGCAACUCGACUCAACCGAAACUCGACACUUAUCCCUGGGAACUCAAAAUAGUGUUUUAUUGUUGGAAAUUACGAUUCUUUUAUUUAUUUACUUUUUCUGCAUUUCUUUGCUGCCCCACACACACCCACCGUUUCAAUUUUUAUAUGUUUAUUACGGUUAUUAUCGCUUAAUGGGGCUCGCUCGCUGGUUAUUGCUGUUGUUGUGUUGCUUGCACCAGUAGUUGUGUCAGACUAACGUGUGAAGUUGUUUUAUUAUUUGUUUUGAUUAUCAAAAUGGGCGUUUUACAUUUUUCCGGUCGUUGGGCGGCCCACCUGCCACGGGCCCACCGCUUAUAGCCCACAUCCCAUAACCCCGGGGCAAGGGCAGUAAAUCACAGCCCGCUGUGAGUGGCUGAGUACCUGGGCAGCAGUACACUUGAAAAAUAGUAACCCUUCUCUUUUAAUUAUUUGGCGGCUAGACAUUAUAUUCAAUUAUAAAUACAUCACAGCAAUAAACCAUUUUUCGGGCUUCUAUAAUGAGUGGACAAUACCUGAAGAAACUUUUUAAUUUAUUUAAAAACAUUUUGAAUUUAUUUAGCUUAGUUACUGAAAAUGUUCCACCUAUCAUGUAUACAUUAUUAUCAUGUCAUAAAAAUUCGGUCCAAUUCAAGUCUGUUUUGCUACAAUUAAACAAAUCUUGCAUCAUCUAAGGUUAUAGAAAAUAAAAUUAUCAUUUAUAUUUUCAGUGCAUAUUCCACUCAUUCGCACUCGCUGUAUGACCCAUAAGCAGAAACCAAAGUGUGGCAAAAUGCUUAAUUUAGAAUUUAUGAGCAAUUAAUUUUAAAGCGCUCUCUGGCCAUUAACGCCGUUACUGCUUCUCCCCCUUGACCGUAAUACACCUUUGGUCAUUAAAGAAUUAAGAAGCCAGUCUGCCAAAAAUUGAUUGUUUAGCCAAUCCGCUGAUGGAUCAAUUAUUCAAUUGUUAUAGCCAAAGAGUUGGCAAUCCAAUUUGAGCACGAGUCGUAUUCCAACAAAUAGACAGAAACUGUGUAUUACGGAAAACACUUCAAAUGUAUGAGUGUUUAACUAAUGGCUAGAAAUUAUUUAAUGGAAAAAUAAGAAAAUGCUGUGAUG
Molecule: RNA transcript, 1278 nt
Organism: Drosophila simulans
Lineage: Eukaryota; Metazoa; Arthropoda; Insecta; Diptera; Drosophilidae
Exons: 3
Source: RefSeq, a predicted model, not a curated record